Long non-coding RNA from Vombatus ursinus (common wombat), 224 nucleotides. RefSeq lists it as uncharacterized. NCBI's taxonomy places the organism in Eukaryota, Metazoa, Chordata, Mammalia, Diprotodontia, Vombatidae. The transcript is spliced from 3 exons. The record is from RefSeq and is a predicted model, not a curated record.
CUUAGCCUUCUCUCAACAAGUUCAAAUCACCAGGCUUGUAGAAACAGCACCCUAAGGGUUAUUCACCAGGGAAACACUGUGGACACAAUGUCCACAGAUUUCAGCUUGAGUUUCAGCAAAGAAUUUGAGAAAGUCUUUUAUGAUUUUGUGGGAAGGAUGGAGAAACAUGGACUGGAUCAGAGGACAGUGAGAAUUAUCAAAGUCCAGUGGCAAAACAAAAGUCA